UCGAAUCAUUUGAAUUUUAAUGUGAUUUGAAAUUUGAAGUUUUUCAAAAGGUUCUAAUAAAAUCAUUGCCAAGUUGAUAAAUAAUAGCAAGGCGAACAAAAAAAAUGUAAAUCAGAGUAUUUUAAAAGAAGUUGAUAAAUUUAGGGGAAGAACAACUUCGAAGGAGAAUAAUAGUUGAAAAUAAAUAAGGAAAAGCCUCAGAUUAGCAUAUUGGCACAUUCAUCAAAGCAAACAACAACCCAUGUAGAUGGAUCUACACGGUGCGCUUUAUUUGUUGUUGCAGCUCUUGCCCAUUUCUUCUCCUCAUCAGCUUUUUUUUCCCCUCAAAUCGUAAUAAAUAAAUUAAACAAAAACAAAUCCACUGAUAAUUUCCAAAAUAUUUUCAUAAAUUUGAAGAAAAAACAUUAAUAAUAAAGUCAGGUGAUAUUUUCGAAACUCACUUAAAAGCAAGAUCGUCGCUAGAAAAAUGAAGAUCGGUUGCCAUCAACGACUGGAGAAGAUGAACUCAAAAGGGAAGAUUAUAUGGAAGCUAUGCGGGGAUU
Molecule: long non-coding RNA, 542 nt
Filed under: Gossypium barbadense (sea-island cotton)
Lineage: Eukaryota; Viridiplantae; Streptophyta; Magnoliopsida; Malvales; Malvaceae
Description: long non-coding RNA (GBAR_LNC018371)
Source: RNAcentral